RNAcentral lists this long non-coding RNA (3047 nucleotides) under Daucus carota (carrot). Its description in RNAcentral is "long non-coding RNA (DCAR_LNC000562)". The record is from RNAcentral. Lineage: Eukaryota; Viridiplantae; Streptophyta; Magnoliopsida; Apiales; Apiaceae.
GUCGCACUAGGUGAUGUAUUCUCUGGCCUUCGGUUCUGCGAGCUGGUGCCUCGAUGGAUUCAUUAACACUAUUAGCUGCUCGAAUGAGUAUGUAUAUAGCCUUUUAUUUUCUUGUUAGGAUCACUUACAAGCAUGUGCAAAGUAAUAACCUCUUAUUCGUAGGCUUUUAGAAGAACGGAGAAAUUAUGUUUUUCCUCACAUCUUCAAGUUAGCUACUGUAUUGCGCAUAGCCUCUUAAGACAGUAAUGCCGUAGGGCUGUAGGGACGGUGUGUGCCGUAAAAAACUAUAAAGAAUGCAUGUAAUAAGGAACACGAGUUUGCCGUAGGACAGAUUUUGAUGCCAUAGCGAGAGGGUUUCCUUCAGGGGACCUGACUCGCGUAAAAGAAGGGAGAUGGCAUGGCAGUGAAAAUGGUUCUAUAUGUUGCUUGAUUUACAAUCAUUAUCUUAUUUUAGUAUGUUACAGUAACCUGUAUCAAUUUUUCUUAUUGACUCGAUUUCUUCAUGGUUAAUAUUUACUAGUAUUUAUUUUUGAUUCUGACUAACAGCAAGGUACACAAUCUCAAUAUAUAAGUUAAAUGUUUGUGUUAUAAUGAAUCAGCGAGGUGGAAAAAUGCAUAAAAUACACAGAGAACUAAAUGUAAACGCACGUAAAAUUAUGCUGGCAGCAGUGUAACUAGACUGGCUUUCAAACCUGGUGGCGACAUAUUAGUUCGAAACAAUGGUAAGUGUAACUGUGUAACAGCAAUGAAAAUUAUAAAGAAGUCCGGGUUGCAAAAGACAAGAGAGCAGGUACAUGUCCAAUGUUAGCUAGUAAUUGCUAAGUGACUGUAAAACUUGACAGUAAAAGCAAUAAUCAAAUAUACUGGGUGAUGAUCACAUUAUAAUAUAUAGACAUAAAUGGUGAUAUAAAGUAGUGGUGCACACAUGGGACAAUAAUAGGACGUGGCAGUAGCAUUAAAUUUAUAAUGUCGUAAUAUAGUAACUAAUUUCAUAUCUAUAAUAUUUUUAAUGUUAUGUGCACAUAAUUAAUAUUUUAACUUUGCUAAAUAGCAAUCUAGCUAGUUCUAGUUUGUCGUAGUAAUAAUUGGUGCUACAUGUAUGAUUGAGGGAUCUAUAGAAAUUUAAUUAAUUCAUAGUCGUGACAGUAAUUGAUGUUACAUAUGUUUGUGUAGGAUGCCUAGAUUUUUUAGUGAUCCGUAGUCGUAGCAUGAAAUAAUGCUACAUAUGUUGGCGUAGGAUGCCCGUAGGAUUUUGAUAAUCCGUAGCCGUAGCAUGAAACAAUGCUACUUAUGUUGGCGUAGGAUGCCCCUAGAGUUUUGAUAAUCCGUAGCCGUAGCAUGAAAUAAUGCUACUUAUGUUGGCGUAGGAUGCCCCUAGGGUUUUGAUAAUCCGUAGCCGUAGCAUGAAACAAUGCUACUUAUGUUGGCGUAGGAUGCCCCUAGGGUUUUGAUAAUCCGUAGCCGUAGCAUGAAACAAUGCUACUUAUGUUGGCGUAGGAUGCCCCUAGGGUUUUGAUAAUCCGUAGCCGUAGCAUGAAACAAUGCUACUUAUGUUGGCGUAGGAUGCCCCUAGGAUUUUAGCAUAUUCAUAAAAAAUAAUGCGAUGAACGAAAUAUGUGAUAGCAUGCAAGGGGCAUAACUGCCAUAUAGUUAGGAAUGAGUUGUGAUUAACACAAAUAACAUCAAUGAUUUCAAGACUAUGUGGUGAUCUAAUAAAAAUAAUCAUAUAUAAUAUUAAAUAGACUAUUUAAAAAAAAAUAUUAUAUAGUGACACAAUAAAAAUGUAUUAAGAGUAUAAAUGACCCAACGCUAACCGCAGUAUAAAUGAUAGGUAUGCAAAAAUACUGUCCAGGAGGAUAAAAGGCGGAUAAAUAUCUAAGACAAAGCUAUAAAAUUGACCUAUGUGUUUGUGUGAGAAAUGUACAUAUGCUGGACAAAAGGUGCUAGCGAAGUAUGAAAAAUAUGAGCUCGACAAUAACUACAUGAACAUAAUUAUAACGAAUGCGACUAUAAAAGAAGCAAUUAAUAACCACGAAUGAUAUUUACUCCCUCUGUCCCAGUCAAUUGUAUACGUUUCUUUUUCACUGCUCGACACGCUUUUUAAGGCACUUAUAAAACAUAGUUCUACAACUUAUUUUUAAGAUUUUCUUUUUCUGUAUAAAAGUAUAAAUGAAAAUAAUUUAUAGAACUAUACUAUAUUGAAGCAUUAAAGUCCGUGUCGCGCCCCCGUCCCCCAAUGUAUACUAUUGACCGGGACGGAGGGAGUAAACAAAUGUGUUAUGUGACCACGUAGUCGGCAAGAAAGUCAAAUAAGCAUGACCAGGGGAUUGUUUUUUCUGAAGUGAGCUGUGAAUUUUUUUGCUGCAACUCAUAAUUAGAAUUAGUUAUUAGUUCAGUUAUUUAUGUAAUAGGCACGUAUAAUAUUUUACGCAAAUUGGUCGUAAAUUGGGUUGAAUUAUUAUUUUAAAGAAGGCUUCUAAAAGUGGUUAAUAUUACAACUUAUGUAUUACUUCGCAGGUGGUGCCAACGACUUUUCGGAUGAUAACAAGCUGGGACAGCGGGGUUCUGGACAUGUUUAUAAGAGGAUAUAUAGUGCGGAUGAAAGACUAUGUAUGCAUGUAGUAAACUAAACUUCUAUACCUGAAUAUAUGCGAAGGUGACAAAUAUAACACAGUUUGAAUAGUUGAUAGUUUUAGACUUGUAAUAAAUAACAGAUUAUGUAAUGCACGAUGUCCAGUACUACAUUAAAGCUUAUAAAUAAAGCCGCCCAUUUAUGCUAGAAUAUAUACCGAGGUGAAAGAUAGAAAAGUGAGCGAGAGCUGAAGCUCUUUUGUGUAAAAGCUCUUACUUAUUUAUCAAAUAUAUAGUGUAACCUUUUCAUAUAAAAGGUGUGUUUAUUUAUACGGUUCAUGUAUAUGUAUAGUAGUUAAUCAAAAUAAAUUUGAUCAAAACCUAUCAUGUAAACAGUUUAUACAUGAAUAUAUAAAGGAUAGAGGAAAAAGAGCUGUAGCUCUGGUGAGACAACAAAGGCUGUAGCUAGCCUAGUG